GAUGAACGCUGGCGGCGUGCCUAACACAUGCAAGUCGAACGGAGUCGUCUUGGCAAUCUCUUCGGAGAUGGAAUUCUCGACUUAGUGGCGGACGGGUGAGUAACGCGUGAGCAAUCUGCCUUUAAGAGGGGGAUAACUGUCGGAAACGGCUGCUAAUACCGCAUAAGGCAUUAAAUUCGCAUGUUUUUGAUGCCAAAGGAGCAAUCCGCUUUUAGAUGAGCUCGCGUCUGAUUAGCUAGUUGGCGGGGUAACGACCCACCAAGGCGACGAUCAGUCGCCGGACGGAGGAGAGGAACGGCCACAUUGGGACUGAGACACGGCGCAGACUCCUACGGGAGGCAGCAGUAGGGAAUAUUGCGCAAUGGGGGAAACCAUGACGAAGCAACGCCGCGGGAUGGAAGAAGGAGUUCGGAUUGUAAAGAUGUUUAAUUAGGGGCGAAGCAAAUGACGGUACCUGAAGAAUAAGCUCCGGCUAACUACGUG
RNAcentral lists this ribosomal RNA (483 nucleotides) under uncultured bacterium. RNAcentral describes it as "partial 16S ribosomal RNA". It matches the Rfam family "Bacterial small subunit ribosomal RNA", at positions 28 to 507 of the family's 1533-position model. The record is from RNAcentral.